AGCAAAGGAAUAAAAUCUCCAUAAUUGUACUCAAAGCUUUGAGCCAACCGACUUCUCUCAGAAUUAAACCUAGUAGCUUCAAUGAACAAAGGGUCAUCUUGAGACUGAAAUCUUGCAUCAAACAUCAUUCCAUACAUAAUAUUAUAUAGCAUCAGCUGCAAACGUUUCCUGAUGACAAUCCCUUCACUUCUCAUCUUCUCAGCAUGUUUAAACAAGUCAGUCACCACAAGCUCCAUUUCUUGCUCCCACAUAUUGCUAUAAUGUUGCACAACUUUGUUAGUGAAGAAUGGUAGGGUCAUAAUUCUACGCAUCUUUCUCCAAUGAUCACCAUAGAUUGUGAACACCAUAUCUUGACCAUUGCCUGUGAAAAUAUCGAACACAACAUUACGUGGUCGAGACCCGAAUUCUACACCUUGUGUGUGUAGAACUUGGGUGGCUAGCUCAGGAUCUGAAACCACUGCUAAAUUUUUUGAACCAAGCUUUAGUAGGAAUAUGGGACCAUAAGACUUUGACAUGGAGGCUAGAAGACGGUGGUUAAGGUCAUUCCCAACUUGGAGCCAAUUCCCAAAUAUUGGGAUUGAAAUAGGGCCUGGAGGGAGGUUCCUUUGGUGACUCUUCUGUUGCUUAAACGAGUGUGCAAUAAGAAUUAGAGGGAGGAUGAGUGAGAAAUGUGCAAAUUUGGUGAAAAAUAAUGCCACCAGUGCUAUAGCAAUGAGAGAGCAAGAUAUUGAAUUUGAAACAGGAUGACCCAUGUUGAGA
RNAcentral lists this unclassified non-coding RNA (759 nucleotides) under Hevea brasiliensis (rubber tree). The record is from RNAcentral. Lineage: Eukaryota; Viridiplantae; Streptophyta; Magnoliopsida; Malpighiales; Euphorbiaceae.